CCAGACUCCUACGGGAGGCAGCAGUGAGGAAUAUUGGUCAAUGGGCUUACGCCUGAACCAGCCAAGUCGCGUGAGGGAAGACUGCCCUAUGGGUUGUAAACCUCUUUUGUCAGGGAGCAAUUGGCGCUACGUGUAGCGUUAUCGAGAGUACCUGAAGAAAAAGCAUCGGCUAACUCCGUGCCAGCAGCCGCGGUAAUACGGAGGAUGCGAGCGUUAUCCGGAUUUAUUGGGUUUAAAGGGUGCGUAGGCGGAAGGCCAGGUCGGGGGUAAAAUCGCGGGGCUCAACCUCGCUCCGCCGUUGAAACUGGCGUUCUUGAGUGGGCGAGAAGUAUGCGGAAUUCGUGGUGUAGCGGUGAAAUGCAUAGAUAUCACGAAGAACCCCGAUUGCGAAGGCAGCAUACCGGCUCCACACUGACGCUGAGGCACGAAAGCGUGGGUAGCAAACAGGAUUAGAUACCCGUGUAC
This 465-nucleotide ribosomal RNA is filed under the name uncultured bacterium. RNAcentral's name for it is "bacterial SSU rRNA". It matches the Rfam family "Bacterial small subunit ribosomal RNA", at positions 331 to 793 of the family's 1533-position model. The record is from RNAcentral.